Molecule: ribosomal RNA, 478 nt
Filed under: uncultured bacterium
Lineage: Bacteria
Description: partial 16S ribosomal RNA
Rfam family: Bacterial small subunit ribosomal RNA
Source: RNAcentral
AACAAACGCUGGCGGCGUGCCUAAUACAUGCAAGUCGAACGGGGAAAGCUUUCGGGCGAGUACUAGUGGCGCACGGGUGAGGAACACGUGGAUAAUCUGCCUUGGAGAGGGGGAUAACUAGUCGAAAGAUUAGCUAAUACCGCAUAAGACCACAGGAACUGAGGUUCUAGGGGUCAAAGGUUUUUCGCUCCAAGAUGAGUCCGCGUAAGAUUAGCUAGUUGGUGAGGUAAUGGCUCACCAAGGCGACGAUCUUUAACUGGUCUGAGAGGAUGAUCAGUCACACUGGAACUGAGACAUGGGCCAGACUCCUAAGGGAGGCAGCAGUAGGGAAUAUUGCACAAUGGAGGAAACUCUGAUGCGGCGACGCCGCGUGAGUGAUGAAGGCCUUCGGGUCGUAAAGCUCUGUCGCAGGGGAAUAAAAAAAUGAAGGUACCCUGCAAGAAAGGAUCGGCUAACUUCGUGCCAGCCGCCGCAGUAA